GGAUUAGAUACCCUGGUAGUCCACGCCGUAAACGAUGAGUACUAGCCCUUGGAGGUAUUGACCCCUUCAGGAGCGCAGCUAACGCAUUAAGUACUCCGCCUGGGAAGUGCGGCCGCAAGGCUAAAACUCAAAGGAAUUGACGGGGGCCCGCACAAGCGGUGGAUUAUGUGGUUUAAUUCGAAGCAACGCGCAGAACCUUACCUAGGCUUGAAAUCCUUCGGAUCCCGAGUAAUGUUGGGAGUGCCCGCAAGGGAAUGAAGUGACAGGUGCUGCAUGGCUGUCGUCAGCUCGUGCUG
This 296-nucleotide ribosomal RNA is filed under the name uncultured bacterium. Its description in RNAcentral is "partial 16S ribosomal RNA". It matches the Rfam family "Bacterial small subunit ribosomal RNA", at positions 775 to 1067 of the family's 1533-position model. The record is from RNAcentral.